UGGAUCCAGACUUUGAUUCUGGCUCAGGAUGAACGCUAGCUACAGGCCUAACACAUGCAAGUCGAGGGGAAACGGCAGCUUAGCUUGCUAAGCUGGACGUCGACCGGCGCACGGGUGAGUAACGCGUAUCCAACCUGCCCCACGGUGAGGGAUAACCCGCGGAAACGCGGCCUAAUACCUCAUGGCCUCCGAGCUUGACAUCAACCUUGGAGUAAAGAUUCACUGCCGUGGGAUGGGGAUGCGUCUGAUUAGCUUGUUGGCGGGGCAACGGCCCACCAAGGCAACGAUCAGUAGGGGUUCUGAGAGGAAAGCCCCCCACAUUGGAACUGAGACACGGUCCAAACUCCUACGGGAGGCAGCAGUGAGGAAUAUUGGUCAAUGGGCGAGAGCCUGAACCAGCCAAGUAGCGUGCAGGAUGACGGCCCUAUGGGUUGUAAACCGCUUUUAUGCGGUGAUAAAGCGGGCGACGUGUCGCCCCUUGCAGGUACCGCAUGAAUAAGGACCGGCUAAUUCCGUGCCAGCAGCCGCGGUAAUACGGAAGGUCCGGGCGUUAUCCGGAUUUAUUGGGUUUAAAGGGAGCGCAGGCCGGGUAUUAAGCGUGUUGUGAAAUGUAGGCGCCCAACGUCUGCACCGCAGCGCGAACUGGUGCCCUUGAGUACGCACGACGUUGGCGGAAUUCGCCGUGUAGCGGUGAAAUGCUUAGAUAUGGCGAAGAACUCCGAUUGCGAAGGCAGCUGACGGGAGCGCUACUGACGCUCAUGCUCGAAAGCGCGGGUAUCGAACAGGAUUAGAUACCCUGGUAGUCCGCGCGGUAAACGAUGGAUGCCCGCUAUUUGCGCGUUAGCGCAAGUGGCCAAGUGAAAACGUUAAGCAUCCCACCUGGGGAGUACGCCGGCAACGGUGCAACUCAAAGGAAUUGACGGA
RNAcentral lists this ribosomal RNA (924 nucleotides) under uncultured Bacteroidota bacterium. RNAcentral's name for it is "bacterial SSU rRNA". It matches the Rfam family "Bacterial small subunit ribosomal RNA", at positions 1 to 917 of the family's 1533-position model. The record is from RNAcentral. Lineage: Bacteria; Pseudomonadati; Bacteroidota.